Molecule: transfer RNA, 86 nt
Filed under: Candidatus Gallacutalibacter pullicola
Lineage: Bacteria; Bacillati; Bacillota; Clostridia; Eubacteriales
Description: tRNA-Tyr
Rfam family: tRNA
About the family: Transfer RNA (tRNA) molecules are approximately 80 nucleotides in length. Their secondary structure includes four short double-helical elements and three loops (D, anti-codon, and T loops).
Source: RNAcentral
GGAGGAGUUCCCGAGUGGUCAAAGGGGGCAGACUGUAAAUCUGUUGCCGUCCGGCUUCGAUGGUCCGAAUCCAUCCUCCUCCACCA